UUUGGUCCAAGGAGUAGCACGUGGAUCUUUAAUUUUCAUGAUAAUUAGGCUUAAGAGGUGGAUUUUAAUCAAUUAAAUAUUGAGACAAUUAAUGGAAAUGAGCAGAACGACUUGCUUCAACAUUGUUGCUGUAUACAUAUAUUACAUUGAAGGAAAAAAAACGUACCAGCAAACAAAAGAAAGGGUUCUCACCUUGUUUCCUCAAUUCAACAACGUUUUCUUUUUGGAAUUUUAAGAAGUGUUCAGUUCUUGCUCAAAAACAAAAUAUAGAAGGUGAAGAGGAGCAAAAAUUGUUUUGGCAAGCUCAAGUAAUUUAUAAGUUCAUCAAGUAAGACCUGCGAGCUCGAGAAGUAGACGUUGGACAUUAGAUAGAGUUCAAGGUAAACAGGGAGGUGAGCUUGAUCCAGAUUCUUAGUAGCUGUCAGCUGAUUGAGAACACUCCAUUGUUCGGAGGUGCUUAUGUUUAUUCUUUUGGUUCCUUUAUGUAUUUCGCGCACGACGGAGUCCUGUUCCGUCUAUAUGUAUAAUAUGUCAGUAGAGGCUCGUAGACACGCAGUGCGGGUUAGAUGGUCUCACAAGAUUACUAUAUUAUAUUUGUAUAUGUUGUUUUGAUGGCCUAAUGGGCACAUGCAUAUAAAAUCAUUUGUGUUG
Lycium barbarum (goji berry) is the source of this 651-nucleotide long non-coding RNA. RefSeq lists it as uncharacterized. Lineage: Eukaryota; Viridiplantae; Streptophyta; Magnoliopsida; Solanales; Solanaceae. The transcript has 3 exons. The record is from RefSeq and is a predicted model, not a curated record.